This 433-nucleotide ribosomal RNA is filed under the name uncultured bacterium. RNAcentral describes it as "partial 16S ribosomal RNA". It matches the Rfam family "Bacterial small subunit ribosomal RNA", at positions 29 to 507 of the family's 1533-position model. The record is from RNAcentral.
AACGAACGCUGGCGGCAUGCCUAACACAUGCAAGUCGAACGAGACCUUCUGGUCUCGUGGCUCACUGGUGCGUAACGCGUUGGAACCUGCCCUUAGGUUCGGAAUAACUCCCCGAAAGGGGUUCUAAUACCGGCUAAUGUCUUCGGACCAAAGAUUUAUCGCCUUUGGAUGGGCCCGCGUUGGAUUAGCUCGUUGGUAGGGUAAAAGCCUACCAAGGCGACGAUCCAUAGCUGGUCUGAGAGAAUGAUCAGCCACACUGGGACUGAGACACGGCCCAGACUCCUACGGGAGGAAGCAGUGGGGAAUAUUGGACAAGGGGCGAAAGCCUGAUCCAGAAAUGCCGCGUGAGUGAUGAAGGCCUUAGGGUUGUAAAGCUCUUUUACCCGGGAUGAUAAUGACAGUACCGGGAGAAUAAGCUCCGGCUAACUCCGUG